Long non-coding RNA from Uranotaenia lowii, 351 nucleotides. RefSeq lists it as uncharacterized. The transcript is spliced from 2 exons. The record is from RefSeq and is a predicted model, not a curated record. Lineage: Eukaryota; Metazoa; Arthropoda; Insecta; Diptera; Culicidae.
UAUUUCACAUUCAGGCGUCGAACACCGUGUCGAGUUGGAAUGGAUUCUCGUAGAUUUCAUCUCUUGCUUUGCAUUUGUGCCAUCAUAAUUCAUCUCGCCAGUGGUGAAAACAAUCUGAACUAUGAGAUAGGACAAAACGACGCUGCAACUGCAACGACGGGUCAAGGGUUCAAUGUUGCUGCUGAUAGCCUGAGUCGUCUGAAGCGUCAAAGCUGUAAUAAAGAUGCCUGUCUCAAACAAUGUCUAAGCCGAGGAAAUUCCAACGGCUAUUGUGUAGGCUCAAUUUGCUCCUGUUCCGGUUUUUGAGCAGUAUGUGAUGAAUGUGAUGAAUUAAGAACAAUUUUGGAAAAA